GUCCACGCCCUAAACGAUGUCAACUGGUUGUUGGGUCUCUUCUGACUCAGUAACGAAGCUAACGCGUGAAGUUGACCGCCUGGGGGAGUACGGCCGCAAGGUUGAAAACUCAAAAGGAAUUGACGGGGACCCGCACAAGCGGUGGAUGAUGUGGUUUAAUUCGAUGCAACGCGAAAACCUUACCCACCUUUGACAUGUACGGAAUUCGCCAGAGAUUGCUUAGUGCUCGAAAGAGAGCCGUAACACAGGUGCUGCAUGGCUGUCGU
RNAcentral lists this ribosomal RNA (266 nucleotides) under uncultured bacterium. RNAcentral describes it as "partial 16S ribosomal RNA". It matches the Rfam family "Bacterial small subunit ribosomal RNA", at positions 793 to 1055 of the family's 1533-position model. The record is from RNAcentral.